This 119-nucleotide ribosomal RNA is filed under the name Nannospalax galili (Upper Galilee mountains blind mole rat). Lineage: Eukaryota; Metazoa; Chordata; Mammalia; Rodentia; Spalacidae. The record is from RNAcentral.
GUCUAUAGCCAUACCAUCCUCAAUGUGUCUGAUGUCAUCUGAUCUUGGAAGCUAAGUAGGGUUGGGCCUGGUUGGUACUUGGAUGGGGGACCACCUGGGAAUUCCAGGUGCUGUUGGCU